Molecule: long non-coding RNA, 393 nt
Organism: Homo sapiens (human)
Lineage: Eukaryota; Metazoa; Chordata; Mammalia; Primates; Hominidae
Source: Ensembl
CAGGAAGACAGCUGGCCCAGUGACCCUCAGAAGUGGAUUGCAGAAGUGGGGGUACCUCCCAGGUUCUCCAGCGGGGAUAAUGCCAGUGCUGAGAGCCGACUGUGCCAGGCUCCUUCACAUUCCCUCCUCGCAGCCCCACGUCGUGACACCCCACCAGCUUUGACAACCAGCCACGGCAGGAGCAUUUACACCACGGUCAUCCACAAAUGCUACAGGCCAGCACACGGCUGCUGACGGGAGAAUCUCAAGAGUCAACAGAUGAAGAAAAUGGGUGCUCCAUAGAAUGCCAACAGCUUUAGUCUAAAUAUACACAUUUUUAUACAUGGAAGAAUCCAUUGUCAACUUUUAAACAUUGGUUACCUUUUGGGAGAAUAAAGGGAAUGGGGGCGAUGA